GUAGGGGUGAUAGUUAAAGGAUGCAAUGUAGGAUAGGGAUGGUUAGACUUCACAUCUCUGCUAACAAAUGGAUUAUACAGAGAGGGAGAGCUGGGGGACAGCGGUUUUAUUCUACCUGAGGAAUGCUAUAGGGUUUAUGCCAGAGUAGGUUUUGUGUCAGAGUAAUAGGAGGUGUGGGGUAAACAGGCAUUACAAAGAAAGGUGUCUGGCUGUUGCAAAGCAUUUUCUGAUUCUGAUUUCUAUGGCAGGUGUAAUUUUCAGAAGCAAAGAAUGAGAUAAAGGGAAAAUAAAUACAUUCCUUCUGAAAGGGAGAUAAAGCAAAAUAAAUCCAGUCCUAGUUCCUGGGUAUAGCAACAGGCCAACAAUGUCUAGAAUUCUCAAGAUGUUCACACACAGAAUUAUCAAGGUUGGAAAAGACCUAGAAGAUCAUCUAGUCCAACCAUUACCAAUACUUCCAGGCUAAAUCAUAUUCAUCAACACAACAUCCAAACAUUUCUUGAACACUCCCAUGGUCGGUGACUCCACCACCUCUCUGGGCAGUGCAUUCCAAUGCCUGACUACCUAUAUUCAUCCAUAUCAGACAUACUAUCUAUGUAAAGUGCCUGUUGAUGGUCCAUGUGGACCAUGAAUCACAAACAAAGAGCAGCCUUGAUAUCCUGAGAGGCCCAGGAUGAGACUGAACGGUUUGUGAAGGCAGAUUUACAACAAAAGUCAAACAGAGAGCUUGAGUGGAGAGAUGAUCAAUGCCGAGAAAGCAUCACCUUCUGUGAUCAGAGGAAAGUAGUGAAUGAGGUUGGAAAAAGUCAUGUGAAAUAUAAACAAAUCUUACAAAGUGUCAUCAUUUCAAAGGGUGUCAACAGUAAUUUACUGUGGGGAUUUUCCUGUAACAAGAAGAUGAAAGACAGAUGUUUAAUUAAACAGCCAAUGAAAAUGGAUGACUCUUGGAAGAGUGGAUAAAACAACUGUAAGAAGGACAGGUCCUAUUGAUUGAUGGUUUCUAUCAUAGACAGAUCUGUUUCAAGUGAGCUACACUGCAGGGUUUACAGAAGCUCCAAAAGCUUUCCUGAAUCCUGUGAGGUAGCAGGAGCAGUGCCCAGGACACGGCAUGAGGUGCCAGCAACAGCAACCAGCCUGAACAAGCUCACUGCAAGCAGGUAUGAAAUCCUACAGGAAAAGCAGAGAUGA
RNAcentral lists this long non-coding RNA (1185 nucleotides) under Coturnix japonica (Japanese quail). RNAcentral's name for it is "lncRNA (ENSCJPG00005019397.1)". The record is from RNAcentral. Lineage: Eukaryota; Metazoa; Chordata; Aves; Galliformes; Phasianidae.